UUUUGGGGUGGAGGUUUUCUGGAACGCUGACACUGGCAUUGUCUUAACACAGAAGUUUCCAAACUUGACAACUUUGAAGACUUGUGGACUUCAACUCCCAGAAUUGAGGGAUUCUGGGAGUUGAAGUCCACAAAUCUUAAAGUUGCCAAGUUUCUACCUCAACGCAAGGGCGUGCAGGACCUUGGGCUCUUCCUGCCAGCCACAGGCUGCCUCCCCCUAACCUAAGUCAAGGUUGAAGAACAGGGCUGACCAAGCAAAGGUUUUCUUUCCAUCUGCUCAAACCUUCUCCUCUUCCUUUUUGGAACGAGCACCGCUUGUAAGUAAGCCAUUUUCAUUGCUCUUUGUUCCAGUGCGUCACCCGCCCAUUUUUUAGCUCCUUCCCAGGCCCUGUCUGUGUUUCAAAUACCUCUUGCAAAUAAUCCAGUUACUUGAAGCUCCUUGAUCUGGUGAUGUUAUUGUUGCUGCUGCUGUGCUCUCUGAGUUGAAAAUAAUCCCUCCCUUUCUCGCUGCGAAGAGUUCUUGCCAGAACUCUUCUUCUUUUCAAGAAAGGAAAGAAAUAAAAACCCAACACAUCUGAUCUGAGCUUUCUCUUUGAAGAAGCCUGCACGGCGGGCCUCCUCCGAUCGAUCCAAAUUAUUCUGUAUUUUUUCCCCCCUCCCUUCUUAGCAACCAAAGAGGAAGAAGAAAAACCUCGUUUUAUCUUCAAGGAUCCAGAUUGGGGCACCGCACAGGGAUUGUACAUUAUGCUGCUAAGUCAUCUCGUGAUCUUCAGCAAGGAAUUCUAGCCGAGGUUGAACCCAGAGAGCGAUCCAUAUGUUUGGGAAAAGAAAGUGAUUGCGUCCCGACCGGCCGACCAUGAGCAUGUUGAAACCAAGCGGGCUGAAAGCCCCCAGCAAGAUCAGCAAACCGGGAAGCGUGCUGGCCAAAACAGCCUCACCUGCGGCUACAGGUGAGGCCGUAAGAUGAUUCGUCCUGGGGAAUGAUAGAAGCCAGAGACGGAGACCUUCUCCGUGCCAUCUCGGGUUUCUGUCGCAGGCUUCGU
This 1042-nucleotide long non-coding RNA is filed under the name Pseudonaja textilis. Its description in RNAcentral is "lncRNA (ENSPTXG00000010862.1)". The record is from RNAcentral. Lineage: Eukaryota; Metazoa; Chordata; Lepidosauria; Squamata; Elapidae.